GCUUACGGCACACCACCCUGAACACGCCCGAUCUCGUCCGAUCUCGGAAGCUAAGCAGGUCGGGCCUGGUUAGUACUUGAUUGGAACCGCCUGGAAUACCAGGUGCUGUAAGUU
This 114-nucleotide ribosomal RNA is filed under the name Oryzias javanicus (javanese ricefish). The record is from RNAcentral. Lineage: Eukaryota; Metazoa; Chordata; Actinopteri; Beloniformes; Adrianichthyidae.